GACGUAGGGGGCCAGCGUUGCUCGGAAUUACUGGGUGUAAAGGGUUCGUAGGCGGUGUGGCAAGUCGGGAGUGAAAUCUCUGGGCUCAACCCAGAGUCUGCUUCCGAAACUGCUGUGCUUGAGUGUGGGAGAGGCGCGUGGAAUUGCAGGUGUAGCGGUGAAAUGCGUAGAUAUCGGGAGGAACACCUGUGGCGAAAGCGGCUCACUGGACAGUAACUGACGCUGAUGCACGAAAGCUAGGGGAGCAAACAGG
This 253-nucleotide ribosomal RNA is filed under the name uncultured bacterium. RNAcentral describes it as "partial 16S ribosomal RNA". It matches the Rfam family "Bacterial small subunit ribosomal RNA", at positions 524 to 776 of the family's 1533-position model. The record is from RNAcentral.